GCAGUUCACAUGGAAGGGCACAAACAGUGUUGUUACCCUAUCAGUUCGAGGAUAUAUUCAAUGAGCCUCAUGGCCACCAGAAAAUUACAUGUAAGUCGAUGUUCAAUUCACUAACAUAGUAAAAAGUUUGAACUCCUAA
Molecule: long non-coding RNA, 139 nt
Organism: Corapipo altera (White-ruffed manakin)
Lineage: Eukaryota; Metazoa; Chordata; Aves; Passeriformes; Pipridae
Exons: 2
Source: RefSeq, a predicted model, not a curated record